This 28-nucleotide small RNA is filed under the name Bombyx mori (domestic silkworm). Its description in RNAcentral is "piRNA piR-bmo-1365610". The record is from RNAcentral. Lineage: Eukaryota; Metazoa; Arthropoda; Insecta; Lepidoptera; Bombycidae.
UAUCGGCUGUGUUCUUCCUGCAAAAAAG